Long non-coding RNA from Drosophila virilis, 2001 nucleotides. RefSeq lists it as uncharacterized. NCBI's taxonomy places the organism in Eukaryota, Metazoa, Arthropoda, Insecta, Diptera, Drosophilidae. The record is from RefSeq and is a predicted model, not a curated record.
AAGUAGAAUGAAUAUGCUCAAAGGGUAAACGGUGUGGCAACUCUGUACGGCAAUUCAUAGGGGUAACUCUUGAAUUAUUUGGUAUGCUUUAAUGACAGUGUUGGAAAGCGUUUGUUUGCUAUAUGUGAAGCUAAAAUUCAAAAUAAUUAAAAGUCAUGUUAUUGAAAGUGCUGCCUGAGGAAAAGAAGCAAAUGCAAAUGAAUUGAUAAUGGAUACAAGUGUAUUUACAUUAAAAAUCAGACAACAAAAAAGAGAUUCGGUUCUGGAAAACAUAAAUCCAAUAAGCAAUUGAAAUCAUCUUGUAUGCCUGCUGUACGAGCCAACUUCAAAGCGGAAAAUUAAGUCGCAUUGGUAAUUCAAUGACAAUCGAACUGACGCACGGAAAAUUUUGCCGAAGGGGAGCUGCUGCUGCUGCUGCUGCUGUUGCAGACAAAUCACAGCCAUGUCCUUGAAUGGCAAAUUGCGACACAGCAAAAUAAUAACAGCUCGUGAAGGUAAACAUGUUCGGGAACCGACGCGACGCGCAAGGAUGGCACCAACACAACAAUCAGUAAAGCGCUCUUCAGGAACAGUCUUUCCAGGACAUAUACAUAUGUACAUACAUGCCAAGGAUGCCAGACUGCACACACGCACACGCACACGCACGCCGACUUCAAGGAUUCACGCGCCCUCUCACCCAGCCACUCGGCACUUUCACUUUUCUCCUUCGUGAAGCAUGGACGACGACCAGGUCGGGUUCAUGGCAGUCCGAAACAUCGGGACCUUGAACACUUGUGGGCGUCGCCAGUGUUGCCACUCCGUCACCCAUAAACUGUGGGCGCUCGCUUCUCGCAAGCCACUUGUGUAUUCCUUAUGCUGCCGCGCGCGUUCAUUUUAAUUAAAUGCAAAGCAUUUGACAAACCACAGCAUAAAUAUGUUUUAAUUAACAAAAAGCCAUCACGUUUCAAGGGUCUGGCAACGCCAUUCGCAGAGCAGUGACAGCCCAGGAGUGAGUUCAGUCAGGAUAUUACAACUGUCGGCACCCAGUGUACUAGUUUGGCAAACUUGUUUUUGUUAUGAAUGUGAAGAAGCACAACAAAAAUGCGACAGCAGACUGGCAAAGACGUCAAGGACAUGGGGUGGAGCAGUGAAGGUUGCGUUUGCCACCGGGGUUUGUGUGCAGAGCGUGGGCGUGCGAGCGCAUGCCAGAGAGAGAGAGAGCGAAGGCGGGAGAGAGCAAGAGAGUGUGGCUGUCCAGCGUUUGCCUAAGGAUUUCAAGCGAAAUUCUGCGUCGUAAUUUUUCAAUAUGGCAGCUAAAAAUCUCCACAAUAACCCCCACGCACGCAAGCCCCAUUCCAAGAGAGGGGCGGUGGUGGCAACCGGCAAAUGCGUACAACGAAAAUAUGGUAUAUACAUAAGUACAAAUAUAAUAUUCUAUACAUACAUAUAUUAUGUAGCCUGGAUGGACGUACGCAGACAUUGUUGGCGUUGUUGUGACGCGUAUCGAUUUGUUUAUGUUUAUUAAAUGAAAAUUCAUAAGGGAUCAGUUGGAGCUCAGGGAUGGGGCUGCUAAUUGGUAGCGGUAAGAUGAUGGGAAAUUUUUCGCACUCUACUCGCAGGGCUAGGCCAUAAAAAGAGAGAGAAAGAGAGAUAAGCCUCUUAUAACAAGUCCUUAUGCUCGCUUUGAAAGUUUGAGAAGCGCAAAGAAAGGACUCUUGGGUUGAGAAGUUGCAAAUACCAAGAAUAUUAACAACUCAUUAGUUAAAAAUAUAUAAGAUUAUGUCAAAUUAAAGGAUUAGAUAUAUGACAACAUCUCUUAAUUAAUUGCUUAGUUAUAUUUGAUUUCCAGAGAGAUGAUAAGUAUGAUAAGACAUGAUUGUUAAAUCUAUCAAAGGAUAUUAAGGAUUGAUAAGACAUAAUUAAUGAAACUAAAUCAUAUUCUGAUUCUUAUCAAUAUAACUUGUUUAAGCCACACAUUAGACUGCUUUAUUAAAUCAGUUUUAUUAAACUUUUAAAAAACUA